Molecule: long non-coding RNA, 1377 nt
Organism: Syngnathoides biaculeatus (alligator pipefish)
Lineage: Eukaryota; Metazoa; Chordata; Actinopteri; Syngnathiformes; Syngnathidae
Exons: 3
Source: RefSeq, a predicted model, not a curated record
CACAUUGACAUUGAGUCUCUGUCUGAUAGUUCUGAGGACCAGGGGGCAAAGUCCUGGCCCAGACUCCAAACUAGGUGUGAUUGUCAGUGCGAAUCUUUAUGUUUAAUUUUUUUCAACAAUAUUGAUCCCAUUCAUGUCAAUGUAGCGCCGGAGAAAAUGAGUCGGAGGCGGAGUGUCGGACACAGGAACAGAACUUGCUUUAUUGUUCGACAUCACCAAACUCUUCGCAUAACAGAGGGAACUCUGUUAACCUUUCCUCCGGAAGCGCAACAACAAAAACAGUCCGUGCGGAACCCCGCACCCCAACUCGAGGUCCCGCGGGUGAAUUAUGCAAACACCACACAAGCCCCCCCAGAAUUCACCCAUAGUCAAAAUCCUUGUGCCGUGGAGGGAUGAUGACCCGACCCCGGCGAGUGUGCACUGUAGGGGCCGAUGGGGGCGGGGCCGCACUGUCCAUUGAGUCACGGGACAAGGGCUCAGGCGGGGUCACCAGUGUAGCGCCGGAAAAAAGGAGUCGGAGGCGGAGUGUCGGACACAGGAACAGAACUUGCUUUAUUGUUCGACAACACCAAACUCUUCGCAUAACGGCGGGAACUCUGUUAACCUUUCCUCCGGAAGCGCAACAACAAAAACAGUCCGUGCGGAACCCCGCACCCCAACUCGUGGUCCCGCAGGUGAAUUAUGUAAACACCACAUCAAUAUGACGGUGCCUUGUCAUGGAGUAAUGUACAAUCUGAUUAAACCAAUUUAAAGAUGAUACUCUGAAUACAAGUAAAGCAGGAGCCCCAUAUCUCAGUGGUUUGUCAUGGAGUAAUGUACAAUUUGAGCAAACCAAUUUAAAGAUGAUACUCUGAAUACAAGUAAAGGAAAGUAAAGGAGGAGCCCCAUGUCAGUGGUUAGAGCAUUGGUUUGGUAUACCAGGGUUCGUGAGUUGUUUCUCACGGGGGCCAUCCUGCGUAAAAAAUGUGCCAAAUAUGAGCAUUCAUCAUAGAUGACAUGCUGUGGCAACCCCUAACGGGACAAGCCAAAAGAAAGUUGUACUGAAUACUAGUAAAUAAUGUUGACGGAAAAUAACUAUACUUAAGUGAAGCAUCUUCAAUCCCUUAUGGUCUGCCUACAAGAAGAAUCGCAUCACUGCUAGCAACUUUGGUUGAGUUUUGGCUGCAGUUGGACGCAACUCUUACACUCCCUCACUCUGUAAGACUUUGCGAGGACAAUACAAUAUUAAAGAAGGACACAAGGCUGUGGACUGGGAGAUCCUUCAUGAACCUAUUGCUCUUGCGGAGUAUACACGCAUCACUGGCCAGCCUGUAUCUCCAGCAGGAUUUGUACUCUCUCCAAGUGGUGUUCUUGGAGCUUCACCGGAUUGAAUCAUCG